AUUGAACGCUGGCGGCAUGCCUUACACAUGCAAGUCGAACGGCAUCGCGGGAAAGCUUGCUUUCCUGGCGGCGAGUGGCGCACGGGUGAGUAACACAUCGGAACGUACCGGCUAGUGGGGGAUAACCCGUCGAAAGACGGGCUAAUACCGCAUACGCUCUUCGGAGGAAAGCAGGGGACCUUUGGGCCUUGCGCUAGCCGAGCGGCCGAUGUCCGAUUAGCUAGUUGGUGGGGUAAAGGCCUACCAAGGCGACGAUCGGUAGCGGGUCUGAGAGGACGAUCCGCCACACUGGGACUGAGACACGGCCCAGACUCCUACGGGAGGCAGCAGUGGGGAAUCUUGGACAAUGGGGGCAACCCUGAUCCAGCAAUGCCGCGUGGGUGAAGAAGGCCUUCGGGUUGUAAAGCCCUUUCGGCAGGGAAGAAAUCGGCGGGGCGAAUAACCCUGCUGGAUGACGGGACCUGCAGAAGAAGCACCGGCGAACUACGU
RNAcentral lists this ribosomal RNA (489 nucleotides) under uncultured bacterium. Its description in RNAcentral is "partial 16S ribosomal RNA". It matches the Rfam family "Bacterial small subunit ribosomal RNA", at positions 29 to 506 of the family's 1533-position model. The record is from RNAcentral.